Long non-coding RNA from Triticum aestivum (bread wheat), 694 nucleotides. RefSeq lists it as uncharacterized. The record is from RefSeq and is a predicted model, not a curated record. NCBI's taxonomy places the organism in Eukaryota, Viridiplantae, Streptophyta, Magnoliopsida, Poales, Poaceae. The transcript is spliced from 2 exons.
AAGAGAGAGGAGAAAAGCCGUGGCACUGAUGGCAACACACUCACAGAAUCGAUGACUAAUAUUCCCAAAUCCUAAAGGCCAUACAACAGAGCGAAAAGCUAGCUACAAGGUGUCCAGGUUCAAUGCACUCUAGCAGAGACCUAGAUGAUGAGGAGUAGUUUCAAAGCAGAGGAGAUACUUGGAAAGGGCAUGGAGAUGGAGAUGGAUAUGCUUGGGUAUAAGUAUCUUUGGAGAAGCAUCAUUCGCAGAGGCGAGACGAUGGCGAUGCGGCGGGAGCUUUUCCUCUUCUUCCUCAUGCCGUAGGAGGGGAAGGAGAGGCCGUCGUCGUCGUCGUCCUUGCAUGGAGUACCCCCAUUCACACUUCUUGGCUGUCUAGUUCGUCGUCGUUCGUUCAGGUAGGGAGGGUUUUGUUCCUGUAAUUCCCUUGUGUUGUUCCUCGUGGAGAUGGGGUUGUAUCUGCUCCUUCUCUUGCCGCGUGUUGUUGUAUAGAGGUAGGGAGGGCAUCUCGUCUGUUUUGGCCACUUCGUGUGUUUCCUUCGUCAUUUACAGUGAUAUCAGUCUGUACUCUGUAGUAGUCUGUCUUACACUGUAAUUUCCAGGAUUUUUGGUUUCUUUUUUGUAACUUCAGAUAUGUGCAACUUCCGGUGUAAAUGGUGGUACAUUUAACUGAAUUUCCGCUUCCAGUGUUUUGUUA